RNAcentral lists this ribosomal RNA (742 nucleotides) under Pseudarthrobacter sp. RNAcentral describes it as "bacterial SSU rRNA". It matches the Rfam family "Bacterial small subunit ribosomal RNA", at positions 70 to 823 of the family's 1533-position model. The record is from RNAcentral. Lineage: Bacteria; Bacillati; Actinomycetota; Actinomycetes; Micrococcales; Micrococcaceae.
UGAUCUCCAGCUUGCUGGGGGGAUUAGUGGCGAACGGGUGAGUAACACGUGAGUAACCUGCCCUUGACUCUGGGAUAAGCCUGGGAAACUGGGUCUAAUACCGGAUAUGACCUUCCAUCGCAUGGUGGUUGGUGGAAAGCUUUUGUGGUUUUGGAUGGACUCGCGGCCUAUCAGCUUGUUGGUGGGGUAAUGGCCUACCAAGGCGACGACGGGUAGCCGGCCUGAGAGGGUGACCGGCCACACUGGGACUGAGACACGGCCCAGACUCCUACGGGAGGCAGCAGUGGGGAAUAUUGCACAAUGGGCGCAAGCCUGAUGCAGCGACGCCGCGUGAGGGAUGACGGCCUUCGGGUUGUAAACCUCUUUCAGUAGGGAAGAAGCCGUAAGGUGACGGUACCUGCAGAAGAAGCGCCGGCUAACUACGUGCCAGCAGCCGCGGUAAUACGUAGGGCGCAAGCGUUAUCCGGAAUUAUUGGGCGUAAAGAGCUCGUAGGCGGUUUGUCGCGUCUGCCGUGAAAGUCCGGGGCUCAACUCCGGAUCUGCGGUGGGUACGGGCAGACUAGAGUGAUGUAGGGGAGACUGGAAUUCCUGGUGUAGCGGUGAAAUGCGCAGAUAUCAGGAGGAACACCGAUGGCGAAGGCAGGUCUCUGGGCAUUAACUGACGCUGAGGAGCGAAAGCAUGGGGAGCGAACAGGAUUAGAUACCCUGGUAGUCCAUGCCGUAAACGUUGGGCACUAGGUGU